GCCUUUUAUUGUUUUUGCAUCCAGACACCUUUAUUUCUUUGCACUCUUAAAGCAGGGGAGCAAAAGAUUAAAGAAAUUGAAAAAAGAAAAUUGUUGAUCAUGCAUAACCAUUUAACAAACUUGGUGACAUACAAAACAUCAAACCUUAUUUGAUGGAAAUUGAUUUAUACUGCUGCAUUGUGCUCGUUAUAGCUUGUUCAACAGGAAUUCUCUCCAUGCUUGACGCACCAUAAAAUCCAUGAACUCCCUUGGUUCUCUUCAAUACGAAUUCUGCUUCUCUAGGACCAGAUAUAGGACCUCCAUGGCAAAGCACAAUGAUGUUGGGGUUGAUAUUAUGUGCAGCGUCUGCAAUAGCUUGCACACGAAACACACUCUCUUCCAAUGAUACUGCUGUUUUUGCACCAAUAGACCCAGACGUAGUAAGCCCCAUAUGGGCCACAAUGAUAUCAGCACCAGCUUUUGCCAUUUCCCCUGCUUCAUUUUGGUUAAAAGCAUAGGGGGUUGUGAGAAGACCCAUUUUAUGAGCUUUUUCAAUCAUUUGGACUUCCAAGCCAUAUCCCAUUCCUGUCUCUUCCAGAUUCUGUCUAAAAUUACCAUCAAAUAGCCCAACAGUAGGAAAAUUUUGCACACCAGAGAAUCCAAUUGACUCCAGCUGCUUUAGGAAGUAAUCCAUUCGGCGAAAAGGAUCAGUUCCGCAUACUCCAGCAAGAACUGGUACCCCCUUCACAAUUGGUAAAACUUCAUUAGCCAUUUCAAUUACUAUAGCAUUUGCAUCAGCAAAUGGCAAUAAGCCUGCUAAGGAACCCCUUCCUGCCAUGCGAAAACGCCCUGAAUUGUAAAGUACUAUUAAAUCAACUCCACCAGCUUCCUCAAAUUUUGCAGAUAUCCCAGUCCCUGCACCAGCUCCUAUUAUGGGCAAUCCUUUUUCUAUUUGAUCUUUCAAUUGCUGCAAUAUUGUCUGAGUUUUCUGCAAAGUUUCUGGUCUUGCAUCUGGGUAGUUGCUUGGGCUGUAACAGAUCAUCCCACAGCUUGAUGAUUUCACAGUAGAAAUGUUAUGCUCUAGGCAGGGUUCAUAAAUAGCAAUUUGGGAAGGACUGGAUUCCAUAGGGUUCUCCAAACUAAUCUCUAAAAA
This 1132-nucleotide unclassified non-coding RNA is filed under the name Hevea brasiliensis (rubber tree). The record is from RNAcentral. Lineage: Eukaryota; Viridiplantae; Streptophyta; Magnoliopsida; Malpighiales; Euphorbiaceae.